This is a long non-coding RNA of Cebus imitator (Panamanian white-faced capuchin), 144 nucleotides long. RefSeq lists it as uncharacterized. Lineage: Eukaryota; Metazoa; Chordata; Mammalia; Primates; Cebidae. The transcript has 2 exons. The record is from RefSeq and is a predicted model, not a curated record.
GAAGAACACCGUCUCCACCACCGCCUGGUCCUCCACGAACACCAGCUUCACCUGCGGGCGGGGCCAGGGAGACAGAGGCAAUAUGACAGGGACAGAACUUUGGAAACUGGAAAGCAGGCAGACAUGCUUAUUCCACCCCACCCC